AUACGUAGGGUGCGAGCGUUGUCCGGAAUUACUGGGCGUAAAGAGCUCGUAGGUGGUUUGUCGCGUCGUCUGUGAAAUUCCGGGGCUUAACUCCGGGCGUGCAGGCGAUACGGGCAUAACUUGAGUACUGUAGGGGAGACUGGAAUUCCUGGUGUAGCGGUGAAAUGCGCAGAUAUCAGGAGGAACACCGGUGGCGAAGGCGGGUCUCUGGGCAGUAACUGUCGCUGAGGAGCGAAAGCAUGGGUAGCGAACAGGAUUAGAUCCCCUGGUAGUCCAUGCCGUAAACGGUGGGCGCUAGGUGUAGGGGUCUUCCACGACUUCUGUGCCGUAGCUAACGCAUUAAGCGCCCCGCCUGGGGAGUACGGCCGCAAGGCUAAAACUCAAAUGAAUUGACGGGG
RNAcentral lists this ribosomal RNA (398 nucleotides) under uncultured bacterium. RNAcentral's name for it is "partial 16S ribosomal RNA". It matches the Rfam family "Bacterial small subunit ribosomal RNA", at positions 523 to 918 of the family's 1533-position model. The record is from RNAcentral.